Molecule: unclassified non-coding RNA, 390 nt
Filed under: soil metagenome
Description: partial contains 5.8S ribosomal RNA, internal transcribed spacer 2, and large subunit ribosomal RNA
Rfam family: 5.8S ribosomal RNA (bases 1-122)
Source: RNAcentral
GAUGAAGAACGUAGCGAAAUGCGAUACUUGGUGUGAAUUGCAGAAUCCCGCGAAUCAUCGAGUUUUUGAACGCGAGUUGCGCCCGAAGCCAUUCGGCCGAGGGCACGUCUGCCUGGGUGUCACGCAUCGUUGCCCCCCCAAACUCGGGUUCGGGCGGGGCGGAAGUUGGCCUCCCGUGCGUGCCUGCGCGCGCGGUUAGCCCAAAAGCGAGUCCUCGGCGAUGAGCGCCACGACAAUCGGUGGUUUUUUUACCCUCGUUCCUCGUCGUGCGUGCCCCGUCGCCCGAACGCGCUCUUGCAACCCUUACGCGUCGCCUCGGUGGCGCUCCCAACGCGACCCCAGGUCAGGCGGGACUACCCGCUGAGUUUAAGCAUAUCAAUAAGCGGAGGA